UACGUAGGGUCCGAGCGUUGUCCGGAAUUACUGGGCGUAAAGAGCUCGUAGGUGGUUUGUCACGUUGUUCGUGAAAACCCACAGCUCAACUGUGGGCGUGCGAGCGAUACGGGCAGACUAGAGUACUGCAGGGGAGACUGGAAUUCCUGGUGUAGCGGUGGAAUGCGCAGAUAUCAGGAGGAACACCGGUGGCGAAGGCGGGUCUCUGGGCAGUAACUGACACUGAGGAGCGAAAGCGUGGGGAGCGAACAGG
This 253-nucleotide ribosomal RNA is filed under the name uncultured bacterium. Its description in RNAcentral is "partial 16S ribosomal RNA". It matches the Rfam family "Bacterial small subunit ribosomal RNA", at positions 524 to 776 of the family's 1533-position model. The record is from RNAcentral.